CCUAGUAAGCGCGUGUCAUCAACUCGUGUUGACUACGUCCCUGCCCUUUGUACACACCGCCCGUCGCUCCUACCGAUUGAAUGAUCCGGUGAAGUGUUCGGAUUGCGUCGACGAUGGCGGUUCGCCGCCGUCGACGUCGUGAGAAGUUCAUUGAACCUUAUCAUUUAGAGGAAGGAGAAGUCGUAACAAGGUUACCGUAGGUGAACCUGCGGUAGGAUCAUUGAUAGC
This 228-nucleotide ribosomal RNA is filed under the name Actinobacillus pleuropneumoniae. Its description in RNAcentral is "partial 16S ribosomal RNA". It matches the Rfam family "Eukaryotic small subunit ribosomal RNA", at positions 1613 to 1831 of the family's 1831-position model. The record is from RNAcentral. Lineage: Bacteria; Pseudomonadati; Pseudomonadota; Gammaproteobacteria; Pasteurellales; Pasteurellaceae.